UACAGAGGUGGCAAGCGUUGUUCGGACUUACUGGGCGUAAAGGGCGCGUAGGCGGCCUUCUAAGUCGAACGUGAAAUCCCCGGGCUCAACCCGGGAACUGCGUCCGAUACUGGAAGGCUUGAAUCCGGGAGAGGGAUGCGGAAUUCCAGGUGUAGCGGUGAAAUGCGUAGAUAUCUGGAGGAACACCGGUGGCGAAGGCGGCAUCCUGGACCGGCAUUGACGCUGAGGCGCGAAAGCCAGGGGAGCAAACGGG
RNAcentral lists this ribosomal RNA (253 nucleotides) under uncultured bacterium. Its description in RNAcentral is "partial 16S ribosomal RNA". It matches the Rfam family "Bacterial small subunit ribosomal RNA", at positions 524 to 776 of the family's 1533-position model. The record is from RNAcentral.